This 459-nucleotide ribosomal RNA is filed under the name uncultured bacterium. Its description in RNAcentral is "partial 16S ribosomal RNA". It matches the Rfam family "Bacterial small subunit ribosomal RNA", at positions 338 to 795 of the family's 1533-position model. The record is from RNAcentral.
CCUACGGGAGGCAGCAGUAGGGAAUAUUGCUCAAUGGGGGAAACCCUGAAGCAGCAACGCCGCGUGGAGGAUGAAGGUUUUCGGAUUGUAAACUCCUUUUGUUGGGGAGCAAAAAGGCCUCGUGAGGCCACAAGUGAGAGUACCCGAAGAAAAAGCAUCGGCUAACUCCGUGCCAGCAGCCGCGGUAAUACGGAGGAUGCGAGCGUUAUCCGGAUUUAUUGGGUUUAAAGGGUGCGUAGGCGGACUGGAAAGGCAGCGGUAAAAUCGAGAGGCUCAACCUCUUUCCGCAGUUGCAACGGUCGGUCUUGAGUGGGCGAAAAGUAUGCGGAAUGCGUGGUGUAGCGGUGAAAGGCAUAGAUAUGACGCAGAACUCCGAUUGCGAAGGCAGCAUACCGGCGCCCGACUGACGCUGAGGCACGAAAGCGUGGGUAUCGAACAGGAUUAGAUACCCGUGUAGUC